GUAGCGUGCCCUUCUAUUUAAUUAGAGCUGAAAAUACAUUUGGGAGUGAAGUGAUUUGAAUCUGAGCAGUCGCCCGCUGCAACACAACGCUGCCAUGGCGAUGGGCUACUCUUCGACGGGAACAUGCACAUCUGAAAGAGACCUGGCCCGAUGAGCAUCACAGCUACAACAUUGCUGCCACAGUACCUCUAGAUACAAUAGUUAUUGGCUUAUUCAAGUGACCAAGUGGUGACAAGGGAAUCUCGUGGCCACCUUCAGCAGGCAGGCAGUCUACAGUCUACUUCAAGCAUCUGCAAUGCUACACAGAGGGA
Molecule: long non-coding RNA, 311 nt
Organism: Ixodes scapularis (black-legged tick)
Lineage: Eukaryota; Metazoa; Arthropoda; Arachnida; Ixodida; Ixodidae
Exons: 3
Source: RefSeq, a predicted model, not a curated record